CCUACGGGAGGCAGCAGUGAGGAAUAUUGGUCAAUGGACGAGAGUCUGAACCAGCCAAGUCGCGUGAAGGAUGACUGCCCUAUGGGUUGUAAACUUCUUUUAUAAAGGAAUAAAACGAGGCACGUGUGCCUUUUUGCAUGUACUCUAUGAAUAAGGAUCGGCUAACUCCGUGCCAGCAGCCGCGGUAAUACGGAGGAUCCGGGCGUUAUCCGGAUUUAUUGGGUUUAAAGGGAGCGUAGAUGGGUUGUUAAGUCAGUUGUGAAAGUUUGCGGCUCAACCGUAAAAUUGCAAUUGAUACUGGCAGUCUUGAGUACAGGUGAGGUAGGCGGAAUGCGUGGUGUAGCGGUGAAAUGCAUAGAUAUCACGAAGAACCCCGAUUGCGAAGGCAGCAUACUAAACUGUGACUGACAUUGAUGCACGAAAGUGUGGGUAUCAAACAGGAUUAGAUACCCGGGUAGUC
Molecule: ribosomal RNA, 460 nt
Filed under: uncultured bacterium
Lineage: Bacteria
Description: partial 16S ribosomal RNA
Rfam family: Bacterial small subunit ribosomal RNA
Source: RNAcentral